AAUAAUCUCAUUUUUCGUUUUUCCGUGUCUAACGUUUGACCAUUCGUCUUAUUUAAAAUUUUUUGCGAUUAAAAUUUUUAUUAUUACUAGAUGAUAAAAUAUGUAUAGUACUUUAUACGUGACUAAUUUUUUUUAAGUUUUUAUGUAAAUUUUUCAAAUAAGAUAAUGGUUAAACGUUAGACACGGAAAAACA
Oryza brachyantha (malo sina) is the source of this 193-nucleotide non-coding RNA. The record is from Rfam. Lineage: Eukaryota; Viridiplantae; Streptophyta; Magnoliopsida; Poales; Poaceae.